AUUGAACGCUGGCGGCAGGCCUAACACAUGCAAGUCGAGCGGAUGACGGGAGCUUGCUCCUUGAUUCAGCGGCGGACGGGUGAGUAAUGCCUAGGAAUCUGCCUGGUAGUGGGGGACAACGUUUCGAAAGGAACGCUAAUACCGCAUACGUCCUACGGGAGAAAGCAGGGGACCUUCGGGCCUUGCGCUAUCAGAUGAGCCUAGGUCGGAUUAGCUAGUUGGUGGGGUAAUGGCUCACCAAGGCGACGAUCCGUAACUGGUCUGAGAGGAUGAACAGUCACACUGGGACUGGGACACGGUCCAGACUCCUACGGGAGGCAGCAGUGGGGAAUAUUGGACAAUGGGCGAAAGCCUGAUCCAGCCAUGCCGCGUGUGUGAAGAAGGUCUUCGGAUUGUAAAGCACUUUAAGUUGGGAGGAAGGGCAGUAAGUUAAUACCUUGCUGUUUUGACGUUACCGACAGAAUAAGCACCGGCUAACUCUGUGCCAGCCGCCGCGGUAA
RNAcentral lists this ribosomal RNA (500 nucleotides) under uncultured bacterium. Its description in RNAcentral is "partial 16S ribosomal RNA". It matches the Rfam family "Bacterial small subunit ribosomal RNA", at positions 30 to 523 of the family's 1533-position model. The record is from RNAcentral.